ACGAACGCUGGCGGCGUGCUUAACACAUGCAAGUCGAGCGGUAAGGCCCUUUCGGGGGUACACGAGCGGCGAACGGGUGAGUAACACGUGGGUGACCUGCCCUCAGCUCUGGGAUAAGCCUGGGAAACCGGGUCUAAUACUGGAUAUGACUCCAUGACGCAUGUUGUGGGGUGGAAAGCCUUGUGCGGCUGAGGAUGGGCCCGCGGCCUAUCAGCUUGGUUGGUGGGGUGACGGCCUACCCAAGGCGACGACGGGUAGCCGGCCUGAGAGGGCGACCGGCCACACUGGGACUGAGACACGGCCCAGACUCCUACGGGAGGCAGCAGUGGGGAAUCUUGCGCAAUGGGCGAAAGCCUGACGCAGCGACGCCGCGUGAGGGAUGACGGCCU
RNAcentral lists this ribosomal RNA (389 nucleotides) under uncultured bacterium. RNAcentral's name for it is "bacterial SSU rRNA". It matches the Rfam family "Bacterial small subunit ribosomal RNA", at positions 29 to 417 of the family's 1533-position model. The record is from RNAcentral.